AUCUGGUGUGUUUUCCUAAGUCUGAACGACAAAAUCUCCCAAGAUCAGACACCCAGUCCCUGGAUUUCCCUCUAACCCUCAUCUAGGGUAGCCUUCAGGAGGCUUGUGGAUAGAAAGACACAGAGGACAGCAAGACAGUCAUCAGUCCUAAUGCUGCCAGCAGAGGACACAAAAGUCUAAAGCUGUUUGCUAAAAACUUUUCCUGGUACUAAAAUUGCCUUUAAAAAAAUCUGCCCCCCUCCAUCCCCCCAAAGAAAAAGAAUUUAAAUUCAAACAGCCUUUACCUGCAUCCUCCCUCUCUCAUUACCUCCCAGUUAGUGCUCAACGCCAAUUGCCCAUGAAAUUCCACUGCUGCUGUUAAUGAAAUGAGGAACAUAAGAAGUUUGUGAACAGGAAGGAAGUGUCCAUGCAAAGCUCCACCUGUUUGCUGCUUCACUCCAUACUUAGUACCACUGGCCUUUGCUGCCUCCAUGUACUCUACAGCUUCUAUACUGGUUCCAGUUCUCUCCACUUCCUCCCCCAGUUAUAGGGGAAGACAUGAGGAAAAGCCCUGCAGUGAACACGUGCUGCGAGGCCUCCCUCCUUCCUAAUUGCACGUUGGAGAAAGUACCAGGUUCAGUCCAGAGACCUGCUUUAGUCUUAGUUCCAACACUGUCUACCCAAGGGACCUUGAACUUAACUUCUCAGACUUCUAUUUCAUUUAUUUAAAUAUUUAAAUAAAUAUUUACUCUUACCUAUUUCACAGUUAUGAGAUCAAAAUGAAGAAAUGUAUUCAAUAGCAUUUUGAAAAGUAACUAUAGAUCAAAAAAUAAACACAAGACCUGCCUGCUAUUAACAGAUGGAUUCCAGGC
Molecule: long non-coding RNA, 851 nt
Filed under: Marmota monax (woodchuck)
Lineage: Eukaryota; Metazoa; Chordata; Mammalia; Rodentia; Sciuridae
Source: RNAcentral